Long non-coding RNA from Tripterygium wilfordii, 606 nucleotides. RefSeq lists it as uncharacterized. NCBI's taxonomy places the organism in Eukaryota, Viridiplantae, Streptophyta, Magnoliopsida, Celastrales, Celastraceae. The record is from RefSeq and is a predicted model, not a curated record. The transcript is spliced from 2 exons.
CCUUUCCUCAUCAUUCCAAUACACGUCAAAACAUGAACAUACAAGAAGAGAAUUUUGGUCUAAGAACUUUGCAUGAAGAAGUUGAGAGUAGAAUGUAGCCAAGGAUGACUUGCCGGCCGGCGUUUGCUUGGUUUUGAUCAUCAUCUCGGUUACUCCGGCCCUGGCAAGCUGUUCUUGGCUACAUUUGGUUCUCUUCUUCUCAUGCGAGGCUCUUGAGACCUGCAAAACCUAGCUAGAUCCAAUGAAGCAACUCCACCAUUAGAUAUUUCAAGGUUCGUCCUUUGUGUGUUUGCUCCUGCAUGUCCCUUCCAAAGAUAUAAAUAUAUGAGCUCGCGUCUGGAUGAAUUCAAAAAGUCGCACCCGGGCGCACGAGAACGCCGUUCGGGAGCACUCACGUCAACUCACCGCAGUAGAUCAAAAUACAACAUUCACAAACAAACAGACUCUAUGUCUUUUUUGUUUUAUAAGUACAUACGUGAGUUGAAUAUUUGGCGCCUGGCGUUUUGAUUAAGAGAUUGAGAGAAGUACUUAAUUUAAUUAAGUGGUGAGAACUUGAACACAAUGUUUCUUUUCAUAUCUCCAUCGUAUUAUGACAUAGUACACAAA